RNAcentral lists this unclassified non-coding RNA (163 nucleotides) under uncultured Ascomycota. RNAcentral describes it as "sequence contains ITS2". Lineage: Eukaryota; Fungi; Ascomycota. The record is from RNAcentral.
CAACCCUCAAGCCUGGCUUGGUGUUGGGGUACUACCCGUCAAACGGUAGGCCCUGAAAUUUAGUGGCGGGCUCGCUAAGACUCUGAGCGUAGUAGUUUUUUCAACCUCGCUUUGGAAGGAUUAGCGGUUGCUCUUGCCGUAAAACCCCCCAAAUAAUCUGAAA